AUGCCUUUCUCAGUCUUUUGGCUAAGAUCAAGUGUAGUAUAUGUUCUUAUGAGUUCAAUAUCUGAUUAGUGGCCCAAUGGGUCACAAUAAUAUUAAAUUACUUUUUUGAGGGGAAGUUGUUAUUGCGUUUUUUAAGGGUCGGUUAUGUGUUGCACUAUUGCAUGGGCUGGCGCACCCCUC
Molecule: small nuclear RNA, 180 nt
Filed under: Medicago truncatula (barrel medic)
Lineage: Eukaryota; Viridiplantae; Streptophyta; Magnoliopsida; Fabales; Fabaceae
Description: sRNA gene8333
Rfam family: U2 spliceosomal RNA
About the family: U2 is a small nuclear RNA (snRNA) component of the spliceosome (involved in pre-mRNA splicing). Complementary binding between U2 snRNA (in an area lying towards the 5' end but 3' to hairpin I) and the branchpoint sequence (BPS) of the intron results the bulging out of an unpaired adenosine, on the BPS, which initiates a nucleophilic attack at the intronic 5' splice site, thus starting the first of two transesterification reactions that mediate splicing.
Source: Rfam by way of RNAcentral